This is a non-coding RNA of Podarcis lilfordi (Lilford's wall lizard), 79 nucleotides long. The record is from the annotation of a GenBank genome assembly. Lineage: Eukaryota; Metazoa; Chordata; Lepidosauria; Squamata; Lacertidae.
GCCGGGAUAGCUUAGCUGGUAGACGAUGAGGCUCUUGAUCUCAGGGCUGUGGGUUUGAGCCCCACAAAAGAUUCCUGCA